AUCCAAAGUGUUGGGUUCAGUGCAGGCAGGUCCCCUGUUCUGGUAAUUAAACUUUGGGACAUUGAAAUGGGCUUGGAAAGCUAUUGGGUAGAAAUUGUUACUCUAUUCAUUUACCUCCCAGCCUACAAAG
This is a small nucleolar RNA of Nannospalax galili (Upper Galilee mountains blind mole rat), 130 nucleotides long. The record is from Ensembl. NCBI's taxonomy places the organism in Eukaryota, Metazoa, Chordata, Mammalia, Rodentia, Spalacidae.